RNAcentral lists this ribosomal RNA (2932 nucleotides) under Escherichia coli. RNAcentral describes it as "23S ribosomal RNA". It matches the Rfam family "Bacterial large subunit ribosomal RNA". Lineage: Bacteria; Pseudomonadati; Pseudomonadota; Gammaproteobacteria; Enterobacterales; Enterobacteriaceae. The record is from RNAcentral.
GGGUUGUGAGGUUAAGCGACUAAGCGUACACGGUGGAUGCCCUGGCAGUCAGAGGCGAUGAAGGACGUGCUAAUCUGCGAUAAGCGUCGGUAAGGUGAUAUGAACCGUUAUAACCGGCGAUUUCCGAAUGGGGAAACCCAGUGUGAUUCGUCACACUAUCAUUAACUGAAUCCAUAGGUUAAUGAGGCGAACCGGGGGAACUGAAACAUCUAAGUACCCCGAGGAAAAGAAAUCAACCGAGAUUCCCCCAGUAGCGGCGAGCGAACGGGGAGCAGCCCAGAGCCUGAAUCAGUGUGUGUGUUAGUGGAAGCGUCUGGAAAGGCGCGCGAUACAGGGUGACAGCCCCGUACACAAAAAUGCACAUGCUGUGAGCUCGAUGAGUAGGGCGGGACACGUGGUAUCCUGUCUGAAUAUGGGGGGACCAUCCUCCAAGGCUAAAUACUCCUGACUGACCGAUAGUGAACCAGUACCGUGAGGGAAAGGCGAAAAGAACCCCGGCGAGGGGAGUGAAAAAGAACCUGAAACCGUGUACGUACAAGCAGUGGGAGCACAGAGCAAUCUGUGUGACUGCGUACCUUUUGUAUAAUGGGUCAGCGACUUAUAUUCUGUAGCAAGGUUAACCGAAUAGGGGAGCCGAAGGGAAACCGAGUCUUAACUGGGCGUUAAGUUGCAGGGUAUAGACCCGAAACCCGGUGAUCUAGCCAUGGGCAGGUUGAAGGUUGGGUAACACUAACUGGAGGACCGAACCGACUAAUGUUGAAAAAUUAGCGGAUGACUUGUGGCUGGGGGUGAAAGGCCAAUCAAACCGGGAGAUAGCUGGUUCUCCCCGAAAGCUAUUUAGGUAGCGCCUCGUGAAUUCAUCUCCGGGGGUAGAGCACUGUUUCGGCAAGGGGGUCAUCCCGACUUACCAACCCGAUGCAAACUGCGAAUACCGGAGAAUGUUAUCACGGGAGACACACGGCGGGUGCUAACGUCCGUCGUGAAGAGGGAAACAACCCAGACCGCCAGCUAAGGUCCCAAAGUCAUGGUUAAGUGGGAAACGAUGUGGGAAGGCCCAGACAGCCAGGAUGUUGGCUUAGAAGCAGCCAUCAUUUAAAGAAAGCGUAAUAGCUCACUGGUCGAGUCGGCCUGCGCGGAAGAUGUAACGGGGCUAAACCAUGCACCGAAGCUGCGGCAGCGACGCUGAUGCGUUGUUGGGUAGGGGAGCGUUCUGUAAGCCUGCGAAGGUGUGCUGUGAGGCAUGCUGGAGGUAUCAGAAGUGCGAAUGCUGACAUAAGUAACGAUAAAGCGGGUGAAAAGCCCGCUCGCCGGAAGACCAAGGGUUCCUGUCCAACGUUAAUCGGGGCAGGGUGAGUCGACCCCUAAGGCGAGGCCGAAAGGCGUAGUCGAUGGGAAACAGGUUAAUAUUCCUGUACUUGGUGUUACUGCGAAGGGGGGACGGAGAAGGCUAUGUUGGCCGGGCGACGGUUGUCCCGGUUUAAGCGUGUAGGCUGGUUUUCCAGGCAAAUCCGGAAAAUCAAGGCUGAGGCGUGAUGACGAGGCACUACGGUGCUGAAGCAACAAAUGCCCUGCUUCCAGGAAAAGCCUCUAAGCAUCAGGUAACAUCAAAUCGUACCCCAAACCGACACAGGUGGUCAGGUAGAGAAUACCAAGGCGCUUGAGAGAACUCGGGUGAAGGAACUAGGCAAAAUGGUGCCGUAACUUCGGGAGAAGGCACGCUGAUAUGUAGGUGAAGUCCCUCGCGGAUGGAGCUGAAAUCAGUCGAAGAUACCAGCUGGCUGCAACUGUUUAUUAAAAACACAGCACUGUGCAAACACGAAAGUGGACGUAUACGGUGUGACGCCUGCCCGGUGCCGGAAGGUUAAUUGAUGGGGUUAGCGCAAGCGAAGCUCUUGAUCGAAGCCCCGGUAAACGGCGGCCGUAACUAUAACGGUCCUAAGGUAGCGAAAUUCCUUGUCGGGUAAGUUCCGACCUGCACGAAUGGCGUAAUGAUGGCCAGGCUGUCUCCACCCGAGACUCAGUGAAAUUGAACUCGCUGUGAAGAUGCAGUGUACCCGCGGCAAGACGGAAAGACCCCGUGAACCUUUACUAUAGCUUGACACUGAACAUUGAGCCUUGAUGUGUAGGAUAGGUGGGAGGCUUUGAAGUGUGGACGCCAGUCUGCAUGGAGCCGACCUUGAAAUACCACCCUUUAAUGUUUGAUGUUCUAACGUGGACCCGUAAUCCGGGUUGCGGACAGUGUCUGGUGGGUAGUUUGACUGGGGCGGUCUCCUCCUAAAGAGUAACGGAGGAGCACGAAGGUUGGCUAAUCCUGGUCGGACAUCAGGAGGUUAGUGCAAUGGCAUAAGCCAGCUUGACUGCGAGCGUGACGGCGCGAGCAGGUGCGAAAGCAGGUCAUAGUGAUCCGGUGGUUCUGAAUGGAAGGGCCAUCGCUCAACGGAUAAAAGGUACUCCGGGGAUAACAGGCUGAUACCGCCCAAGAGUUCAUAUCGACGGCGGUGUUUGGCACCUCGAUGUCGGCUCAUCACAUCCUGGGGCUGAAGUAGGUCCCAAGGGUAUGGCUGUUCGCCAUUUAAAGUGGUACGCGAGCUGGGUUUAGAACGUCGUGAGACAGUUCGGUCCCUAUCUGCCGUGGGCGCUGGAGAACUGAGGGGGGCUGCUCCUAGUACGAGAGGACCGGAGUGGACGCAUCACUGGUGUUCGGGUUGUCAUGCCAAUGGCACUGCCCGGUAGCUAAAUGCGGAAGAGAUAAGUGCUGAAAGCAUCUAAGCACGAAACUUGCCCCGAGAUGAGUUCUCCCUGACUCCUUGAGAGUCCUGAAGGAACGUUGAAGACGACGACGUUGAUAGGCCGGGUGUGUAAGCGCAGCGAUGCGUUGAGCUAACCGGUACUAAUGAACCGUGAGGCUUAACCUUACAACGCCGAAGCUGUU